Molecule: ribosomal RNA, 217 nt
Filed under: uncultured bacterium
Lineage: Bacteria
Description: partial 16S ribosomal RNA
Rfam family: Bacterial small subunit ribosomal RNA
Source: RNAcentral
UACGUAGGGUGCAAGCGUUAAUCGGAAUUACUGGGCGUAAAGCGUGCGCAGGCGGUGAUGUAAGACAGAUGUGAAAUCCCCGGGCUCAACCUGGGAACUGCAUUUGUGACUGCAUCGCUGGAGUACGGCAGAGGGGGAUGGAAUUCCGGCGUGUAGCAGUGAAAUGCGUAGAUAUGCGGAGGAACACCGAUGGCGGAAGGGACAACUCCCCUGGGCC